UGUACAUGGAUUAGUUGGUUCUCUCUGGUUUUCAUGAAUCACUGUCCUUCUGUGUCUGGGCUUAGCCUGUGUGUAGCAGGGAGGCACAAAAUGGAAGCGCAAAGGCCAACAUAGCAUGGGACUCUACGGCAUUUCCCGGUCUUGAAAUGUUAGAAGAAUGCCUUUGAAGACUAUCCUGAUUUCCUGUGGUCCAAUUGCUUCUUUAUGCUAGCAGCGCCCUUGAGUAUGAGCUUCCUAGUUUUGGCACUGGAAUCUUGUUUGGGAAUGCCUCGCUGCCAUCUGGGAAGCUCUAGCGAAGCAGCCAAGCUUCGUCUGAUACAACCAUGGUCCCGCUGAAGAAGACCGGUGAUGGAAAUCAGACCUUGAGCGUCCAAUCAGGUCGUUUUCAUAGCAGUCCAGCUUACGGUAAAACCAAAGGAAAUCCUGUUUGUGGCCAUCUGACUUCGACACCGCCCCGGAACUGUUAUAUGGCUUUUGAAGUGUUGGCACAGACCAGGCUGUGACUAAGCAACCCCCACGGUCUCUCAUCUUCUUCCACAUUUUACAGAGGUGCCAGGCUCUGUCUGCUCUGUCCUUUUUUUCCACAGUAGAACUGAUGGUAUAGUUCUAGCCUGAAGUGGACAAGAGAGCUGUUCCCUUUUCUUUCUAUAGGCAUCUGUGGGCCGUUCUGCACUCUGCUCAGUGCUGUGCCAAGUUGCAGUGCCCGCUAGCUUCCAGUAACCUGCAAAAGCAUUCUGUUAAGAGGAAUGGCAUCCAGGUCCUCUCAGAAAGGUUAUCCACGAAGGAAUGUGAGUUGCAAAGUGAAAUAUGUAAGCUGAGCUUUGGAUGAGACACCAGGAAAGUCAUGCUUGUUGUAACUGCAAUAGAAAUGACAUCGCCUCUCUUGUUAUCUCUCAGUGAUCAACGAUUGUCAGGCCCUAUGAUCUGGUGUCGUGACGUGUGCUGUGACAGUUUGCAUCUCUGCAUUGGGGCUGUUUUUAGCGGCAAAUCCAUCUGUCUUAAUCUAUGCCGAAAACAGGUCAGCAGUCACGCAUGUCACUCAAAGGCUUGACCCACUGUAGGCCUUCAGAGCUACGCUGACGCAGCCUGUCAAACCUCAGACGAGCUCGGGUACGGGGCACUCUCGGUCCAGUGUUCCAGGCUGUAGGCACUACAGCUUUUGACUGCGUCUCUGCCAGGCAGGUGAGAAGACCGUGGGUCAAAACAAAGGAUGUUUUGACAAUGUGGCUGUAAAAACCCCAGAGGAGGAGGAGGAGGUUUGGAAAAGUCCCGACAUUCCCUGGCUCUCUUGCCACAUUCCCUGCAGCCCUUGUGAGCGUGUUAACCCGUGGAGUUGGUGUGUACGUCUCUGGUGCCUGAUUGCUGGCCGAUGGAGUACUGUCAAUAAAGAAAGUAGACAGAAAGACAGAAAGGUUUCCGAGGUUAGUCUGUGCGUCUGCUAGAAUCAGAGCAAUGUUUGGCAGUGCGCCCGUAGGCGAACAGUUUUUAUCGUCAAUGAAGAUCAACAAAUCACUUUUACAGUCAAGACUCACCGAUGAACAUUUCAGGCAACAUUGCGAUUGGCUACUUCACGUGAUAUCAGGCCUAAUGUUGACGUUCUGGUCUCUGCAAAACGAAGCAGCCAGAAUGAAGAACUUCAGAAAUAACCUGAUGUGAGUGCAUUGAGUAAAGUGGACCAACAUGUUUCAAAUAAA
Non-coding RNA from Lepisosteus oculatus (spotted gar), 1694 nucleotides. NCBI's taxonomy places the organism in Eukaryota, Metazoa, Chordata, Actinopteri, Semionotiformes, Lepisosteidae. The record is from RefSeq and is a predicted model, not a curated record.